GAAUCUUCCACAAUGGACGAAAGUCUGAUGGAGCAAUGCCGCGUGCGCGAAGACGGUUUUCGGAUCGUAAAGCCCUGUUGUAAGGGAAGAACACGUACGGGAGUAACUGCCCGUACCUUGACGGUACCUUACUCGAACGCCACCGCUAACUACGUGCCAGCAGCCGCCGUAAUACGUAGGGGGCAAGCGUUGUCCGGAAUUAUUGGGCGUAAAGCGCGCGCAGGCGGUCCUUUAAGUCUGAUGUGCAAUCCCACGGCUCAACCGUGGAAGGUCAUUGGAAACUGGGGGACUUGAGUACAGAAGAGGAAAGCGGAAUUCCAAGUGUAGCGGUGAAAUGCGUAGAGAGUUGGAGGAACACCAGUGGCGAAGGCGGCUUUCUGGUCUGUAACUGACGCUGAGGCGCGAAAGCGUGGGGAGCAAACAG
Molecule: ribosomal RNA, 424 nt
Filed under: uncultured bacterium
Lineage: Bacteria
Description: partial 16S ribosomal RNA
Rfam family: Bacterial small subunit ribosomal RNA
Source: RNAcentral